This 120-nucleotide ribosomal RNA is filed under the name Amphibacillus marinus. RNAcentral's name for it is "16S rRNA. Bacterial SSU". It matches the Rfam family "Bacterial small subunit ribosomal RNA", at positions 1 to 119 of the family's 1533-position model. Lineage: Bacteria; Bacillati; Bacillota; Bacilli; Caryophanales; Bacillaceae. The record is from RNAcentral.
CUUUAAUGAGAGUUUGAUCUUGGCUCAGGACGAACGCUGGCGGCGUGCCUAAUACAUGCAAGUCGAGCGCAGGAAGCAGUUUAGAUCCCUUCGGGGUGACGAGCUGUGGAAUGAGCGGCG